RNAcentral lists this ribosomal RNA (359 nucleotides) under uncultured bacterium. RNAcentral describes it as "bacterial SSU rRNA". It matches the Rfam family "Bacterial small subunit ribosomal RNA", at positions 917 to 1271 of the family's 1533-position model. The record is from RNAcentral.
GGGCUCACACAAGCGGUGGAGGAUGUGGCUUAAUUCGAGGCUACGCGAAGAACCUUAUCCUAGAUUUGACAUGCUUGAGAAUUCCUUCGAAAGAAGGAAGUGCCCCUCGGGGAGCUUUUGCACAGGUGCUGCAUGGCUGUCGUCAGCUCGUGUCGUGAGAUGUCGGUUAAGUCCCUUAACGAGCGAAACCCUUAUCUCUAGUUGCCAGCGGGGUAAUGCCGGGGACUCUAGAGAGACUGCCGGUGUCAAACCGGAGGAAGGUGGGGAUGACGUCAAGUCCUCAUGGCCUUUAUGUCUAGGGCUGCACACGUCCUACAAUGGUCGGUACAGAGGGCAGCUACCUAGUGAUAGGAUGCUAA